Molecule: ribosomal RNA, 632 nt
Filed under: Orbilia scaphoides
Lineage: Eukaryota; Fungi; Ascomycota; Orbiliomycetes; Orbiliales; Orbiliaceae
Description: eukaryotic LSU rRNA
Rfam family: Eukaryotic large subunit ribosomal RNA
Source: RNAcentral
UGACCUCAGAUCAGACAAGGAUACCUGCUGAACUUAAGCAUAUCAAUAAGCAGAGGAAAAGAAACCAACAGGGAUUGCCUCAGUAACGGCGAGUGAAGCGGCAACAGCUCAAAUUUGAAAUCUGGAGCCUUUGGCUUCCGAGUUGUAAUUUGAAGAGGAUGUUUCGGUGCGACCUGGGCCUAAGUUCCUUGGAACAGGACGUCAUGGAGGGUGAGAAUCCCGUACAUGGCUGCAGGUUUGCUUCUAUGUGAAACUCCUUCGAAGAGUCGAGUUGUUUGGGAAUGCAGCUCAAAAUGGGUGGUAAAUUUCAUCUAAAGCUAAAUAUUGGGGGGAGACCGAUAGCGCACAAGUAGAGUGAUCGAAAGAUGAAAAGCACUUUGAAAAGAGAGUUAAACAGUACGUGAAAUUGUUGAAAGGGAAGCGCUUGCAAUCAGACUCGCCUUCAGUUGAUCAGCCUUCCUUCUGGUUGGUGCACUCUGCUGUUGGCGGGCCAGCAUCAGUUGGGGCGGUGGGACAAAGGUAGCAGGAAUGUGGCUCGCUUCGGUGAGUGUUAUAGCCUGCUGCGUCAUGCCACCAGUCCCGACUGAGGUCCGCGGUUCGCCUAGGAUGCUGGCUUAAUGGUUGUAAGCGAC